This 276-nucleotide long non-coding RNA is filed under the name Cavia porcellus (domestic guinea pig). RNAcentral describes it as "lncRNA (ENSCPOG00000035469.1)". Lineage: Eukaryota; Metazoa; Chordata; Mammalia; Rodentia; Caviidae. The record is from RNAcentral.
ACUCAGGAUAUCACGGGCAACCAGCCCAGUGCAACUAGAGUCCUCAGGAGAGAGGACUGACAAUGGGAUGUGUUAGAAAGGGAGGGCAGAUUCCAAGGAGACUUGUUGUUCUUUGUUCCAGACCGAAAGAAUCUAGAAAUCACCUCUAGGAGACGCCAGUACCCCCAAAACCUGGUAAUAAUCGUCCAUCCUUUAAAAGAAACACAGUUCUACCAACACCUUUAUUUUAACCUCAGGAAACUGAUUUUGGCCUUUUGGUCUCCAGGACCAUAAGAA